UCCUCAUGCCCCAGCAGCCAAACACACAGUUUUCCAACUGAAUGAAAGAAAGAAAGAACGGGUUAGGAGGAAACGGGAAGAAGCAGAGAGGGGGAGAGGGACAGAGAGCGGCGGUGUGAGAGGAAGAGAGGGACGAGGCAGCACCGGUGGACCUUGCUGCCGCCGUCGUGCUGAGCCGUCGCAUUCUGCAUCGUUGUACACCAAAGAAAGAGAGAGAAAGAUCGGGUAGGAAUCAGGGGACCGAAGGCGGAGGGAGUGCGGCAGGGGAAGCCAUCGCCGCCAGUCACCGUCGCAAGGCUCUGCUGCAUCCCCACCGCGCUUGGGUGUUGUUGAAGCCACACCUACUGCCGCUGCUACUAGGGUCUGCCGCCGUCUUGUCCCUGGAGCCUGAGCCGCGCAUCUGUCACCGAACCAGAGGAGCUCAUCCUUGCUGAGUCGCCGCCAUCUUGCCUCUGCCGGCGAGCACGAAGAGAGAGGGAGACGGGAGUUUGCACAGCAGAGAGAGGGAGAGCGCGACAGGGGAGACCAUCGCCGCCUGGGUCGCCGUCGCCGGGCCUCCUUGUCGUCGCCAGUUCUGCUUGUUCUAUCGCCGGGAAACUCGUCGCUGUGGGGGUCUCACUGCCGCCGUCCUUGUUGUGGCUGGUGUCGUCACCGCGGAAGCCACCUGCGUCACCGCUGGAGGAAGGGAGAUCCGCGCCGUUGCUGCGAUUUAUGCCGCCGGAAUUGCUCUGCCGCUGCCAGAAUUUCUGGUCGCUGCCGUUCUGGUGAGCUUGCUCUGUUACUGGUUCUUAGUUUCGCCAAUUCAAUUUGUUUGAAGCUGUCACUGAAACUAUUGUGUUUAAUAAAGGGGCUGUCAUAUGUUACGUUGUCGCUGCCGGAGGACCUGCGGCUCUACAUUUUCGACCGCCGGUGGUGGCGCGGGUGUUGCUGGAAACACCAUCGGAACUGC
Molecule: long non-coding RNA, 949 nt
Filed under: Arachis ipaensis
Lineage: Eukaryota; Viridiplantae; Streptophyta; Magnoliopsida; Fabales; Fabaceae
Description: long non-coding RNA (AIPA_LNC001920)
Source: RNAcentral